This 490-nucleotide ribosomal RNA is filed under the name uncultured bacterium. Its description in RNAcentral is "partial 16S ribosomal RNA". It matches the Rfam family "Bacterial small subunit ribosomal RNA", at positions 28 to 507 of the family's 1533-position model. The record is from RNAcentral.
GAUGAACGCUAGCUACAGGCUUAACACAUGCAAGUCGAGGGGCAGCAUGGUCUUAGCUUGCUAAGGCCGAUGGCGACCGGCGCACGGGUGAGUAACACGUAUCCAACCUGCCGUCUACUCUUGGACAGCCUUCUGAAAGGAAGAUUAAUACAAGAUGGCAUCAUGAGUCCGCAUGUUCACAUGAUUAAAGGUAUUCCGGUAGACGAUGGGGAUGCGUUCCAUUAGAUGGUAGGCGGGGUAACGGCCCACCUAGUCUUCGAUGGAUAGGGGUUCUGAGAGGAAGGUCCCCCACAUUGGAACUGAGACACGGUCCAAACUGCUACGGGAGGCAGCAGUGAGGAAUAUUGGUCAAUGGGCGCAGGCCUGAACCAGCCAAGUAGCGUGAAGGAGGACUGCCCUAUGGGUUGUAAACUUCUUUUAUAAAGGAAUAAAGUCGGGUAUGUAUACCCGUUUGCAUGUACUUUAUGAAUAAGGAUCGGCUAACUCCGUG